GGUCACGAGAACCGACGCGAAGCCCCGGCUGGUCGGACAGCAACCCCCAUGUCACGGCGGGGUGCUCCGGGAGAUGACCUGGCCGGCCCCUCCGGGUCGGCAAGCCACGACG
This 112-nucleotide non-coding RNA is filed under the name Sanguibacter keddieii. RNAcentral describes it as "SAM-IV sequence". It matches the Rfam family "SAM (S-adenosyl methionine) riboswitch aptamer". From Rfam's summary of the family: SAM-IV is a mRNA element that regulates gene expression via direct sensing of S-adenosylmethionine (SAM or AdoMet). SAM-IV riboswitches share conserved nucleotide positions with the previously described SAM-I riboswitches sequence analysis and molecular recognition experiments suggest that SAM-I and SAM-IV riboswitches share similar ligand binding sites, but have different scaffolds. Lineage: Bacteria; Bacillati; Actinomycetota; Actinomycetes; Micrococcales; Sanguibacteraceae. The record is from RNAcentral.